Molecule: transfer RNA, 66 nt
Filed under: Archaeoglobus fulgidus
Lineage: Archaea; Methanobacteriati; Methanobacteriota; Archaeoglobi; Archaeoglobales; Archaeoglobaceae
Description: tRNA-Asp
Rfam family: tRNA
About the family: Transfer RNA (tRNA) molecules are approximately 80 nucleotides in length. Their secondary structure includes four short double-helical elements and three loops (D, anti-codon, and T loops).
Source: RNAcentral
GGUGGUGUAGUCCGGCCUAUCAUGCGGGCCUGUCGAGCCCGCGACUCGGGUUCAAAUCCCGGCCCG